AGGAUCCCUGUCCUAGAGAAAUAUAGUAGCUUUCUGUUCACACUUUGCAAGUAAAAAGGGUGGAUCGUUCCACUACUGACAUAU
This 84-nucleotide small nucleolar RNA is filed under the name Myotis davidii. RNAcentral describes it as "Small Cajal body specific RNA 24". It matches the Rfam family "Small Cajal body specific RNA 24". Rfam says of the family: scaRNAs are a specific class of small nuclear RNAs which localise to the Cajal bodies and guide the modification of RNA polymerase II transcribed spliceosomal RNAs U1, U2, U4, U5 and U12. ACA12 belongs to the H/ACA box class of guide RNAs as it has the predicted hairpin-hinge-hairpin-tail structure,the conserved H/ACA-box motifs and is found associated with GAR1. The record is from Rfam by way of RNAcentral. Lineage: Eukaryota; Metazoa; Chordata; Mammalia; Chiroptera; Vespertilionidae.